CAGUAGCCGCGGUAAUACCGAGGGUGCAAGCGUUAAUCGGAAUUACUGGGCGUAAAGCGUGCGUAGGCGGCUUCUUAAGUCGGAUGUGAAAUCCCUGAGCUUAACUUAGGAAUUGCAUUCGAUACUGGGAAGCUAGAGUAUGGGAGAGGAUGGUAGAAUUCCAGGUGUAGCGGUGAAAUGCGUAGAGAUCUGGAGGAAUACCGAUGGCGAAGGCAGCCAUCUGGCCUAAUACUGACGCUGAGGUACGAAAGCAUGGGGAGCAAACAGGAUUAGAUACCCCAGUAGUCCCUGUCUCUUAUAC
This 301-nucleotide ribosomal RNA is filed under the name uncultured bacterium. Its description in RNAcentral is "partial 16S ribosomal RNA". It matches the Rfam family "Bacterial small subunit ribosomal RNA", at positions 509 to 807 of the family's 1533-position model. The record is from RNAcentral.